This 568-nucleotide long non-coding RNA is filed under the name Daucus carota (carrot). RNAcentral describes it as "long non-coding RNA (DCAR_LNC006902)". Lineage: Eukaryota; Viridiplantae; Streptophyta; Magnoliopsida; Apiales; Apiaceae. The record is from RNAcentral.
AGCACAAACACUCUAUAACACAUAGACUGGUUUUAGAUCACUUCAAACACCCAUAGUAUACAAAAAGAUCCUAAACAUUACGAUAUGUCGAUAUCUGAUUGACUAAUUUUACUACUAAUAAGAAAUUAAAGGCUCAAAAUUUUAGUCAAAAACGCAAAAUACUUUCCUCAUACCACUAGAUAGUUGUUAAAAGCCUCUAAUAGACUGUAUAUUAUAUAUAGAGAGAGGGGCAAGUAAGAAUUCUGAAAGAAAACCGGGAAAAAAAACCCCUAGGGUUUUGAGCUUUCUGUUUUAUUCAUAUACGUACAACGGUUGUACAGAGGCUGAGGGCUGACCUUAUGCUACUGAUUGAAUGAGGAAAUCCCUGAUGCUUAUUAUAUAACACGAGUACUUUGCAUAUGAGAAUGGGAUAAAGACAUCGUGUGCAUAACAUAUAAUACUUUGUCAAUCAGACAAAAUGGAACUCACAAUUAACAAAAAUCGGUCAAAAAACUCAAGAUAGCAAUCACAAAGGUUAAACAACGAAGAGAUGGUGCCCUAGGAACUCUGGGCCUGGAAAAAGCCACUU